UACGGAGGGUGCAAGCGUUAUCCGGAUUCACUGGGUUUAAAGGGCGCGCAGGCGGGCUUGUAAGUCAGUGGUGAAAUCCCCGUGCUUAACAUGGGAACUGCCAUUGAUACUAUAGGUCUUGAAUAUCGUUGAGGUUUGCGGAAUGGGUCAUGUAGCGGUGAAAUGCAUAGAUAUGACCCGGAACACCUAUUGCGAAGGCAGCAGGCUAAGCGAAGAUUGACGCUGAGGCUCGAAAGCGUGGGGAUCAAACAGG
Molecule: ribosomal RNA, 253 nt
Filed under: uncultured bacterium
Lineage: Bacteria
Description: partial 16S ribosomal RNA
Rfam family: Bacterial small subunit ribosomal RNA
Source: RNAcentral